GCGAAUAUAGUUUAAUUAAAAUGUUACGUUGUGGGUGUAAAGUUAAAUUUUUAUUUUGUUCGCA
Molecule: transfer RNA, 64 nt
Filed under: Semelidae sp. STW-2017
Lineage: Eukaryota; Metazoa; Mollusca; Bivalvia; Cardiida; Semelidae
Description: tRNA-His
Source: RNAcentral